This 1674-nucleotide ribosomal RNA is filed under the name Triticum aestivum (bread wheat). RNAcentral's name for it is "partial small subunit ribosomal RNA". Lineage: Eukaryota; Viridiplantae; Streptophyta; Magnoliopsida; Poales; Poaceae. The record is from RNAcentral.
AUGCAACCCCCCCUCCCCUGGCCGGGCUCCCCGUUCAGCGUAUCUGCCGCAGCAGUCUCCAAAAUGCUGGCUUGCUGCUGCUUGGUUGUGUCCCAGCUGCUCAUCGUAAUAACACUCAUAUACCUUGUCAUUACCAAGAGCAAGGUCCGCUGUGACACGUGCUCAUCAGCGACGGUGCCGCUUCCACUUCCGCCGGGGCCAUGUCCGUGGCCAGUGGUGGGUAACCUGCCCGAGAUGGUGGUCAACAAGCCGGCAUUCCGUUGGAUCCAUCGCGUGAUGAAGGAUAUGGGCACCGACAUCGCCUGCUUCCGCCUCGGCGGCGUCCACGUCGUCCCGAUCACAUGUCCCAAGAUCGCAAGGGAGGUGCUCAAGAAGCAGGACAAAAACUUCUCGUCCCGCCCACUCACCUUCGCCUCCGGCGUCAUCAGCAGCGGGUACAAGGACGCCGUGCUCUCGCCGUUCGGUGACCAGUGGAUGAAGAUGCGCAAGGUGCUCACCUCUGAGAUCAUCUGCCCCUCCCGUCACAAGUGGCUCCACGACAAGCGCGCCGAUGAAGCUGACAACUUGACGCGCUACAUCUACAACCUCACUGCCGGGGGGUUGUCAUCUUCAACGUCGGGACUAGCCAACGUCAAUGUCAGGCACGUCGCGCGGCAUUACUGCGGCAACAUCAUCCGCCGGCUUGUCUUCGGCCAACGGUACUUCGGGGAGCCUCAGCCGGACGGCGGGCCGGGGCCAAUGGAGGUGGAGCACAUGGACGCUUCCUUCGCCCUCCUAGGGUUCACCUUCACGUUCUGCGUCAGCGACUACCUCCCGUGUCUACUUGGCCUAGAUCUCGACGGCCACGAGAAAAUUAUUAAGGAGGCCAACACAAAAGUGGAUAGACUGCACGACGUGGUCAUCGAAGAGCGUUGGAGGCAGUGGAACAGCGGCGAGAGGCAGGACGGGGUCCAGGACUUCCUUGACGUUCUCAUCACGCUCGCCGACGGUGACGGCAAGCCGUUGCUCAGCAUCGAUGAGGUCAAAGCACAAUCCAAGGGCAUAAUAUUAGCGGCCAUUGAUAACCCGUCAAACGCAGUGGAGUGGGCACUGGCGGAGAUGGUGAACAACCCAGAAUUGCUGGCCAAGGCGGUGGAGGAAAUGGACCGGGUGGUCGGUCACGAGCGACUGGUGCAAGAGUCGGACAUCAUGCAGCUCAACUAUCUCAAGGCAUGCAUACGUGAGGCAUUCCGCCUCCACCCAAUCGCUCCCUUCAACCUGCCGCACGUCGCGAUUGCCGACACCAUUGUUGCGGGCUACCACGUGCCCAAGGGUAGCAACGUCAUCCUCAGCCGGCUGGCCCUGGGCCGGAACCCCACCGUCUGGGAUGAACCGCUCCGCUUCAAGCCGGAGCGCCAUAUGGGAGACAACAUCAAUGUGGUGCUUACUGAGAGCGAAUUGCGGUUCAUCUCCUUCAGCACCGGACGACGGGGAUGCAUCGCGGCAUCACUAGGAACAACCAUGAGUGUCAUGCUCUUUGGCAGGCUCCUGCAUGGCUUCACCUGGACCAAACCGGCUGGGGUGUCGGCCAUCAAUCUCAGCGAGUCCAAGCGCAACCUCUUUAUAGAGAAGCCGCUAGUGCUACAUGCUGAGCCACGUCUUCCAGUGCACCUCUACCCUCUCAUGCAUUGUUGA